UACGUAGGGUGCAAGCGUUGUCCGGAAUCAUUGGGCGUAAAGAGCGUGUAGGCGGCCCGGUAAGUCCGCUGUGAAAGUCCAGGGCUCAACCCUGGAAUGCCGGUGGAAACUGUCGGGCUAGAGUCCGGAAGAGGCGAGUGGAAUUCCUGGUGUAGCGGUGAAAUGCGCAGAUAUCAGGAGGAACACCAAUGGCGAAGGCAGCUCGCUGGGACGGUACUGACGCUGAGACGCGAAAGCGUGGGGAGCAAACAGG
This 253-nucleotide ribosomal RNA is filed under the name uncultured bacterium. RNAcentral's name for it is "partial 16S ribosomal RNA". It matches the Rfam family "Bacterial small subunit ribosomal RNA", at positions 524 to 776 of the family's 1533-position model. The record is from RNAcentral.